UAAUCUCACAUAAAAUCGUUAUUAACGAAUACUUAACAGCUCGGCACAUGUUAUCCAACGUAUACUGCAGUGAAGUCUCCAUUGCUAAUAUAUAUUGUCUUAUUAAAAUCUAAGUAAGGAUUGAAUAUUUAAAUAUCAUUACUUUGAUUGAGUCAAAACACAAUGUAAUGGAAGCUAAUGAUUAAUAAUUGAGCUAAGAUAUGUGAUUUUAGUGCCCUUUCAAUCUUGAGCUCUCCUACCAAGGUAUCCAUAGUUAAUAUUGUACAAGCAAUUUCAUUAUUGUGCCACUAGAUCGAAUAGAGAUUAUACGAAUAUAACAAAACUUAACGUAAGUUG
Molecule: non-coding RNA, 336 nt
Organism: Schizosaccharomyces pombe (fission yeast)
Lineage: Eukaryota; Fungi; Ascomycota; Schizosaccharomycetes; Schizosaccharomycetales; Schizosaccharomycetaceae
Source: the annotation of a GenBank genome assembly